Molecule: ribosomal RNA, 279 nt
Filed under: uncultured bacterium
Lineage: Bacteria
Description: partial 16S ribosomal RNA
Rfam family: Bacterial small subunit ribosomal RNA
Source: RNAcentral
UGCCAGCCGCCGCGGUAAUACGGAGGGUCCAAGCGUUAUCCGGAUUUAUUGGGUUUAAAGGGUGCGCAGGCGGGACGAUAAGUCAGUGGUGAAAUCCUACAGCUUAACUGUAGAACUGCCAUUGAUACUGUUUUUCUUGAGUAUAGAUGAAGUGGGCGGAAUGUAUCAUGUAGCGGUGAAAUGCAUAGAUAUGAUACAGAACACCGAUUGCGAAGGCAGCUCACUAAACUAUUACUGACGCUGAGGGACGAAAGCGUGGGGAGCGAACGGGAUUAGAUA